This 618-nucleotide long non-coding RNA is filed under the name Homo sapiens (human). RNAcentral's name for it is "HSALNT0015594". The record is from RNAcentral. Lineage: Eukaryota; Metazoa; Chordata; Mammalia; Primates; Hominidae.
GGAGGAUGCAGGCCAUCUGGGGACUGAGGAGAAGGAAUGAACUCAUCAUGUUGGAGACUGGGGAAAUAUUCAUUCCAAGGAAGUGUGGUAGGAUUACUGGGUACUCAUUUUAUUUUAUUCUUUGAGACAGUCUUGCUAUGUUGCCCAGGCUGGCCUCGAGCUCCUGGGCUCAAGUGAUCCUCCUGCCUCAGCCUCUUGAGGAACUGGGAUUACAGGCAGGAGCCACUGCGUCCAGCUUUGGGUGCUCAUUUUAGAUUGACUUAUAAAUAUCCCCAGCUUUUUCCUCAGAGGGAAGCCUUCUGUGCUUCCUGGCCCAGCUUUCCCGCCCCCAUACCUGUGCUCAUUCAUUUCUUCAUUGGGGUUUACUAGGUGGAAUCUGAGCCAGAGGGAGGAAAGGAGGAGGCUGGCAAAGAGAGAGGCCACACAGAGUUCCCUGUGUGCUGCUCAGGGGGUCCCACCACAACCCCAGGCAGCCCAGCUCAGGGGGUCCCACUACAAUCCCGGGCAGCCAAGCUCAGGGGGUCCCACCACAAUCCUGGGCAGCCCAGCUCAGGAGGUCCCAUCACAACCCUGGGCAGCUUAGCUCACAAGGUCCCAUCACAACCCUGGGCAGCUCAG